GGCCAUGCUCUUUUUGAACUUCUCCACUGGACCGUUUGAGUCCUUCAAAUCAGCCUACUAUGGUGCUGUAGAGGAGUUCAGUGGCAAGGAUGUGAAGUUCCUUAUUGGUGACAUUGAAGCGAGCCAAGGCGCCUUCCAGGUUGAUUGAUUGUUUCCCUUUCUAUUUCUUUACAUUGUUAUCCAUACUGUUGUUUUUUCCUUGGUGCUAACAGAUUUUUCUUUGAAACAUAGUACUUUGGCCUGAAAGAGGAUCAGGCACCACUUAUCCUCAUUCAAGACAGUGACUCGAAGAAGUUUUUGAAGGAACAGGUUGAGGCUGGCCAAAUUGUUGCUUGGUUGAAGGAUUACUUUGUAAGUAGCCAUUCCUUGUUUCCCUUGGUUGUAGGACUACAACCUUAUUUGUUUGAUCCCAUGUAAUCUCUUCAGCAAUUUCAUUAGUGUUCAUUCGUAUUGUAGGAUGGCAAAUUGACACCAUUCAGGAAGUCCGAGCCUAUUCCUGAGGCCAACAAUGAGCCUGUGAAGGUAGUUGUGGCUGACAACAUUCACGACGUGGUCUUCAAAUCUGGCAAAAAUGGUAUUCAUCUUUUUUGUCCUUGCUGGAUUAAGCUAGUUGUAGCAAGUGACUGCGAUUCCUUCUAAGUGAAACAAUGGUCUUGUAUGACCUUGGUGAAGUCUUCCUGUAAGUAUGCGCUCAUUGAUUUGCCACCUUAUAUUGCAGUUCUUAUCGAGUUCUAUGCACCCUGGUGCGGACACUGCAAGAAGCUAGCACCCAUCCUCGACGAGGCAGCUGCCACCCUUCAAAGCGAAGAGGACGUUGUGAUUGCCAAGAUAGUAAUAUUUGUUGCCCUCUCCGUCGUUCCAGUUCCAGCAACGAAAUACAACUUACCUAACCACUGUUUCUCAACCUUGUCCACAGGACGCUACCGCGAAUGACGUUCCCGGCGAGUUUGAUGUCCAGGGUUACCCCACCCUCUACUUCGUCACUCCUAGCGGGAAGAAGGUCUCGUAUGAGGGCGGCAGGACGGCCGACGAGAUUGUCGACUACAUCAAGAAGAACAAGGAGACUGCCGGGCAGGCGGCAGCGGCGGCGACCGAGAAGGCAGCUGAACCGGCUGCCACCGAGCCUCUGAAGGACGAGCUCUGAGCAUCAGUCUUGCUAGCAGCAGACAGGUAGAGGAGGGGGAAACAUGUUUUGGCAAGGCAGCUUCCAACGCCAGAUUUUGCGAGGGGGGGACGAGAGUUGGUUGUUGGUUGUGUUGGCCCCGGUUUUGCCUGAUACUGUUUCCCGUUGCGAGAAAUACUGUAACAAAUCCAUCAGUGGUGUACCUAGUUAAAUUAUCGAGAAGUGGCAUUAGAAAUGGUCUGUGGAGAGCUCUGGUAAUAAGCGGUGCUACUGUGCCUGGUAGAAUUAUCAUGCAUGUCAGCAUGUGUUACGCUUA
RNAcentral lists this long non-coding RNA (1439 nucleotides) under Triticum aestivum (bread wheat). RNAcentral's name for it is "long non-coding RNA (TAES_LNC001810)". Lineage: Eukaryota; Viridiplantae; Streptophyta; Magnoliopsida; Poales; Poaceae. The record is from RNAcentral.